Molecule: transfer RNA, 73 nt
Filed under: Candidatus Hydrogenedentota bacterium
Lineage: Bacteria; Pseudomonadati; Candidatus Hydrogenedentota
Description: Candidatus Hydrogenedentes bacterium tRNA-Asn
Rfam family: tRNA
About the family: Transfer RNA (tRNA) molecules are approximately 80 nucleotides in length. Their secondary structure includes four short double-helical elements and three loops (D, anti-codon, and T loops). Further hydrogen bonds mediate the characteristic L-shaped molecular structure. tRNAs have two regions of fundamental functional importance: the anti-codon, which is responsible for specific mRNA codon recognition, and the 3' end, to which the tRNAs corresponding amino acid is attached (by aminoacyl-tRNA synthetases). tRNAs cope with the degeneracy of the genetic code in two manners: having more than one tRNA (with a specific anti-codon) for a particular amino acid; and 'wobble' base-pairing, i.e. permitting non-standard base-pairing at the 3rd anti-codon position.
Source: RNAcentral
UCCCCGGUAGCUCAGUUGGUAGAGCAGACGGCUGUUAACCGUCCCGCCGCAGGUUCGAGUCCUGCCCGGGGAG